Molecule: RNA transcript, 880 nt
Organism: Hipposideros armiger (great roundleaf bat)
Lineage: Eukaryota; Metazoa; Chordata; Mammalia; Chiroptera; Hipposideridae
Gene name: 14-3-3 protein zeta/delta pseudogene
Exons: 1
Source: RefSeq, a predicted model, not a curated record
ACUGCUGAGCCCCCAUCCGUCCGCCGCCACCCACUCCGGACACAGAACAUCCAUCCAGUCAUGGAUAAAAAUGAGCUCGUUCAGAAGGCCAAACUGGCCGAGCAGGCUGAGAGAUAUGAUGACAUGGCAGCCUGCAUGAAGUCUGUAACUGAGCAAGGAGCUGAAUUAUCCAAGAGGAAAGGAAUCUUCUCUCAGUUGCUUAUAAUAAUGUUGUAGGAGCCCGUAGGUCAUCUUGGAGGGUCGUCUCAAGUAUUGAGCAAAAGAUGGAAGGCGCUGAGAAAAAAGAGCAGAUGGCUCGAGAAUACAGAGAGAAAAUUGAGACUGAGCUAAGAGAUAUCUGCAAUGAUGUAUUGUCUCUCUUGGAAAAAUUCUUGAUCCCCAAUGCUUCACAAGCAGAGAGCAAAGUCUUCUAUUUGAAAAUGAAAGGAGACUAUUACCGUUACUUGGCUGAGGUUGCUGCUGGUGAUGACAAGAAAGGGAUUGUGGAUCAGUCACUACAAGCAUAUCAAGAAGCUUUUGAAAUCAGCAAAAAGGAAAUGCAACCAACACAUCCUAUCAGAUUGGGUCUGGCCCCUCGUAACUCCUCUGUGUUCUAUUACGAGAUUCUGAACUCCCCUGAGAAAGCCUGCUGUCUUGCAAAGACAGCUUUUGAUGAAGCCAUUGCUGAAUUUGAUACAUUAAGUGAAGAGUCAUACAAAGACAGCACGCUAAUAAUGCAAACACUGAGAGACAACUUGACAUUGUGGACAUCGGAUACCCAAGGAGAUGAAGCUGAAGCAGGAGAAGGAGGGGAAAAUUAACCUGCCUUCCAACUUUUGUCUGCCUCAUUCUAAAAUUUACACAGUAGACCAUUUGUCAUCCAUGCUGUCCCACAAAUAGU